CACCAUAUUGCAUUGCAGUUGCAGCGAACAUCUCAAAACUACCUGACGAUACACGAGUUUGGUCACCGAGACACUCGAAUCGCCGCCAAUAAACAAAUCACCUCCCCCUCUCCUCACCUUCAGAGUCUCUACACGGCUGCUGCUGCUGCCUCCCUGUCCCUGUACAUAGCAUAGCAUAGCGUAUGCUACACAUCCCCUCCCGGAAAAAGCGUGGGACCGAAACACAUCGGAGGUUCCAACGCCAACCGAUCUUGUUCGAGCGCCGGCCUUACUGCUGCACAGCCUGAUAGCUGGAGCGGCUGGAAGGGAAGACUGGGAUGGCGCCGAAAUCGCCAGGUCUUAUACCGCCCUGGUGAUGUCCAUGGUCCCUCCUCGCUCGCGACUUCUCCACCCGGGUUCGCCGGAACACUUCUUGGAUUUGCCGGUCGUUCUCCUUCAGCAUCUCGUCGACGUUGCUGCCUGAAGGACAGGUCAGGGGCCCAGAGUGGUGGAUCUUGCUGCCUUUGGAUCCGUAGCCCUGUUUCGUCAAGAGCCAGAAAAUGGUAGGACGUUACUUACAAUAGCUCCAUCAGCCCUAAUGUUCCUGUCAUCCUUCUUCGGGAACACUUGAUCGUACUUCCCACUGUUACUGAAAUGCUCAUUGAUGGACUCCGACAGCCUCCGCCCAUGAGCAAAUGCUUCAGCUUGAGCGACCAUUGUCCGGCCGCUAUCGUCUGCCCGGGGACCUGAUCUUGUCGACAAAACCACAGGGUGAUUCGCAACACCAGGGACCUGAGGUUCACCAUUUUUGCCGCCUCCAGCCUUUGAUGGCUGGCUCUGGUUAACUAGAGGCCCAGAAUGGAAGAUCCUGGUUGGGUAGGCACGUUGUGGGUCUUCAGAAGACUCGGUAACAGGAGUUGGCCGGGGUGGUUCGAUUCGGAAUCCGGACGCGGAGUCUUCUUUGCAGGGAUUGAACAUUUCGCUCCUGCUCCUGGUAUUAGCUUGGGCUUGCCUUUUCUGAGGUCAAAGAUAUUCAUACAGCAAGCAACACAGGUUAUGUAUGGUUUGAAAUGAUAAAAAAAACAAGUAGUACAUGUGCAUCUCCAAAGCUAAAGAUAAAGGAAGUGUCAACUGUCAACAAGUGGAGAAUUACCUGCAAUGAUGAUACUAAUUCUGCAUUUGCCUCAGGGGCAGGGACUGCUCUUGAUUCUCUGGUUCUUCUUUCAGGGUCAUGUUUAUGUUGCUUUCCUCCAGUAACACCUUGCCUAAAAAGUGCAUGACUAUGAUUUGUAAAAAAAAAAUCAAAUGUAUGACAACAAUGCUGGUUGCCUUUUGCUUGAGUAUUGAAAUUUAAAUAGCACAAA
This is a long non-coding RNA of Zea mays, 1343 nucleotides long. RefSeq lists it as uncharacterized. The record is from RefSeq and is a predicted model, not a curated record. NCBI's taxonomy places the organism in Eukaryota, Viridiplantae, Streptophyta, Magnoliopsida, Poales, Poaceae. The transcript has 2 exons.